UUUUCCUGGUUGACAGUUACUGGGUGCAACUUGAAUGUUCUCAAGCUUUGGGGAGUAAUGCAGGGUAAAAUUAUUGGGAGAGCAUCAUGUACUAAACUGUAAUUAAUUCACAUUUUUCAGGAAGUGAAUUGAUGUCUGCAAAGCUAUGAAAUAGGUCCCUACCUUAACACCUGUCCUUUUCUUCUACAGUCUGAGUUGCGCUAUCAAACUGGAGAUCCCUGAAGCACCCAGAAAAGGCUGGUGGUGCAGGAGGUUUGAUAGAUCCGUGUAGAUAGACAGCAAAGAUGAUUUCAGACUUUGCUAAAGCAUUUGCUGGAAUUUGAAGGAUACAGUACAAGUGGUUAGUUGUUAUUUUUCAAGUAAACUGGAAGCCCAUGAAAUAGCUAUGCAGUUCCUCAGAAGCUCUCUUCAGAGCAACUGGCGAGAGUUCUCAUAGGAGAUACAGAGAAGGUAGUCUUUUUUCUUACUGUUGUACCACUAGUCCAUAGAUUAUGAAUCUCACAUUAGGAAACCCUUGCUGGAAG
This 524-nucleotide long non-coding RNA is filed under the name Apteryx owenii (little spotted kiwi). Its description in RNAcentral is "lncRNA (ENSAOWG00000014591.1)". Lineage: Eukaryota; Metazoa; Chordata; Aves; Apterygiformes; Apterygidae. The record is from RNAcentral.